GGAUGCGAUCAUACCAGCACUAAAGCACCGGAUCCCAUCAGAACUUCGAAGUUAAGCUUGCUUGGGCGAGAGUAGUACUUGGAUGGGUGACCUCCUGGGAAGUCCUCGUGUUGCAUUCCA
Molecule: ribosomal RNA, 120 nt
Filed under: Triticum turgidum subsp. durum (durum wheat)
Lineage: Eukaryota; Viridiplantae; Streptophyta; Magnoliopsida; Poales; Poaceae
Source: RNAcentral